GCACUCAUUCCAUUGAUUGGUUUGUUGACUUCAAAUGUUAUUCAAAUUAAUAGCCUAUUAGUAAAAUGAACUAGGUAGCCUACAUAUAACUCCAGAGAUUCUACUGACCGAUUAACAGAGGGACUGGCUUACUUUAAAAGUUAGAUUGAACCAGAAUCUUAAUACCGAGUCAUGAAAAUGUCAAACAAAUAUCACCUGAGCUUUGGUGGAAUUAUUUAAUAAACAGUGAUAGAUGCAUUUCUAAUGUCAGCAGACAGUAAUUAAGAAGAUAAUCAAUAAAAACACCAAGAAUAACAACAUCAAAAGACUACUACUACUACUGCUGCUAGUACUACCACUUUGCUGCCUGCUAUGCGAAGGCAUGAUCAUUUUGCUUUUGCUUUAAGAAUCUACCUGAAUGUGCUGCCACCAUGUGGACACGUUUGGUAAUGCUGGCGCAUAUUGAUGACGUCAUUCACCCGUGGUUCUAGGUUCCGUUGGUCUUCGUGCAUGCAGCUGAGCACAUGGUAAGUCUCUAAUCGUUUGUGCCUUAGACACUUUUUGGACAGAAUUCCACCAACCAGGAGUUAGGGAGAGGGCGACAGCCAUGCUCUGGAUCAUUCCAGAAAGACCUACCUCUGCUGAGCGUCUUGCUGUGAGGCAGAAUUCCGUGUCCUCCAUGGCGAGACGGUACUGUUUGAGACCCGUGUACGCCUCCGCCCGACACAACCUCGCCGCGAUUGCCACCUCCACCGACACCUCCUCGAAAGACCCAACCUCCUCUGAUGCCCCCUUCACCUCCACCAACGCCACCUCCUCUGAUGCCCCUUUCACCUCCACCAACGCCACCUCCUCUGAUGCCCCUUUCACCUCCACCGACGCCACCUCGGAACCUACAGCGAAGCAGAGGGAGGAAGGAGGUGAUUGAUAAGAUGUCGAAAAAACGAAGCCAAUAAUUUAUUUUGAGACAUGAGGUGAUGUGACAAUGAAUAAUGUUCCAGCCAGUUGAAUAAAUCUACAAACUCUUGUCGGAUCAAACGGGUAGG
Long non-coding RNA from Gadus macrocephalus (Pacific cod), 1025 nucleotides. RefSeq lists it as uncharacterized. The transcript has 2 exons. The record is from RefSeq and is a predicted model, not a curated record. Lineage: Eukaryota; Metazoa; Chordata; Actinopteri; Gadiformes; Gadidae.